Molecule: ribosomal RNA, 759 nt
Filed under: Fallicambarus gordoni
Lineage: Eukaryota; Metazoa; Arthropoda; Malacostraca; Decapoda; Cambaridae
Description: partial 28S ribosomal RNA
Rfam family: Eukaryotic large subunit ribosomal RNA (bases 306-759)
Source: RNAcentral
GGGGACGUAACAAAGCGACCCAGGAAUGCUUGGGCGUGCCUCCACCCACGCCGGCGUCGGCGGGCGUAUUUCGCCUCACAGUAGGUCGCCGCGACCCGUUGCUUUUGGGGACGUCGAAGGCCCGGACGGAUUGGUACCCUACCGGCUGGGGAUGCGGCUUCGGCUUCUCCUCUUGUCCGGUGGGCGAAACCGCCGGUGUCCUGGCUGCCCUGCGACGGUCGUAGAGACGAGCCCUCCCCUUCGGGGGGGCGGCUCUCGCGGCGUGCAAAAGGUCGGUGAUCCACCCGACCCGUCUUGAAACACGGACCAAGGAGUCUAACAUGUGUGCGAGUCAGUGGGCGCACUAAACCCAGAGGCGUAAUGAAAGUGACACGGGCUCGGCUGUCGCCUCGUGUGGCAGCCGGACUCAGGGCCGAUCCCUCACCGGUUGUCCUCGCCUCUCUCCCGCGUCUCGGUAAGCCGGGUGAGCUAUUUUCCCCGGCCGCUGCUGCGGGGCUCGGGGGGAGGCGGGGUGCGAUGGUGUCUGUAAAAAAGAGCCUGCUGUUGCAGGGGGGCGCAGGCCCGGGACUUGCCAGGACGCCGCGAGACUGUCACUUUGCUGUGAGGCUCUCGGGCCGAUCAGCGGGUCAUGCGUGCAGUCGGCAAGUACCAUGAGCAGACAUGUUGGGACCCGAAAGAUGGUGAACUAUGCCUGGCCAGGAUGAAGCCAGAGGAAACUCUGGUGGAGGUCCGUAGCGAUUCUGACGUGCAAAUCGAUCG